UGGGGAAUUUUGGAUCAAUGGGCGAAAGCCUGAUCCAGCAAUGCCGCGUGUGUGAAGAAGGCCUUCGGGUUGUAAAGCACUUUUGUCCGGAAAGAAAUCCUUGGCUCUAAUACAGUCGGGGGAGUGACGGUACCGGAAGAAUAAGCACCGGCUAACUACGUGCCAGCAGCCGCGGUAAUACGUAGGGUGCAAGCGUUAAUCGGAAUUACUGGGCGUAAAGCGUGCGCAGGCGGUUUGCUAAGACCGAUGUGAAAUCCCCGGGCUCAACCUGGACUGCAUUGGUGAUCUGGCAGGCUAGAGUAUGGCAGAGGGGGGUGAGAAUUCCACGUGUAGCAGUGAAAUGCGUAGAGAUGUGGAGGAAUACCGAUGGCGAAGGCAGCCCCUGG
Molecule: ribosomal RNA, 386 nt
Filed under: uncultured bacterium
Lineage: Bacteria
Description: partial 16S ribosomal RNA
Rfam family: Bacterial small subunit ribosomal RNA
Source: RNAcentral